RNAcentral lists this ribosomal RNA (502 nucleotides) under uncultured bacterium. RNAcentral describes it as "partial 16S ribosomal RNA". It matches the Rfam family "Bacterial small subunit ribosomal RNA", at positions 30 to 523 of the family's 1533-position model. The record is from RNAcentral.
AUUGAACGCUGGCGGCAUGCCUUACACAUGCAAGUCGAACGGCAGCAUAGGAGCUUGCUCCUGAUGGCGAGUGGCGAACGGGUGAGUAAUAUAUCGGAACGUGCCCUAGAGUGGGGGAUAACUAGUCGAAAGACUAGCUAAUACCGCAUACGAUCUACGGAUGAAAGUGGGGGAUCGCAAGACCUCAUGCUCCUGGAGCGGCCGAUAUCUGAUUAGCUAGUUGGUGGGGUAAAAGCCUACCAAGGCGACGAUCAGUAGCUGGUCUGAGAGGACGACCAGCCACACUGGGACUGAGACACGGCCCAGACUCCUACGGGAGGCAGCAGUGGGGAAUUUUGGACAAUGGGGGCAACCCUGAUCCAGCAAUGCCGCGUGAGUGAAGAAGGCCUUCGGGUUGUAAAGCUCUUUUGUCAGGGAAGAAACGGUAGUAGCUAAUAUCUAUUACUAAUGACGGUACCUGAAGAAUAAGCACCGGCUAACUACGUGCCAGCAGCCGCGGUAA